Molecule: ribosomal RNA, 317 nt
Filed under: uncultured bacterium
Lineage: Bacteria
Description: bacterial SSU rRNA
Rfam family: Bacterial small subunit ribosomal RNA
Source: RNAcentral
AGAGUUUGAUCCUGGCUCAGAAUGAACGCUAGCGGCGGGCCUAACACAUGCAAGUCGAGCGGGGCGCAAGCCCAGCGGCGAACGGGUGAGUAACGCGUAGGUAAUGUACCUCCUGGUGGGGAACAACCGUGGGAAACCAUGGCUAAUUCCGCAUGACGCCGAAAGGUGAAAGCAGCAAUGCGCCGGGAGAGCCGCCUGCGUCCCAUUAUUUAUUCCUAGUUGGCGAGGUAACGGCUCACCAAGGGUACGAUGGGUAGCUGGUCUGAGAGGAUGAUCAGCCACACUGGAACUGAGACACGGUCCAGACUCCUACGGGA